RNAcentral lists this ribosomal RNA (492 nucleotides) under uncultured bacterium. Its description in RNAcentral is "partial 16S ribosomal RNA". It matches the Rfam family "Bacterial small subunit ribosomal RNA", at positions 29 to 507 of the family's 1533-position model. The record is from RNAcentral.
AGUGAACGCUGGCGGUAGGCCUAACACAUGCAAGUCGAACGGCAGCACAGUAAGAGCUUGCUCUUACGGGUGGCGAGUGGCGGACGGGUGAGGAAUACAUCGGAAUCUACUUUUUCGUGGGGGAUAACGUAGGGAAACUUACGCUAAUACCGCAUACGACCUACGGGUGAAAGCAGGGGAUCUUCGGACCUUGCGCGAUUGAAUGAGCCGAUGUCGGAUUAGCUAGUUGGCGGGGUAAAGGCCCACCAAGGCGACGAUCCGUAGCUGGUCUGAGAGGAUGAUCAGCCACACUGGAACUGAGACACGGUCCAGACUCCUACGGGAGGCAGCAGUGGGGAAUAUUGGACAAUGGGCGCAAGCCUGAUCCAGCCAUACCGCGUGGGUGAAGAAGGCCUUCGGGUUGUAAAGCCCUUUUGUUGGGAAAGAGAAGCAGCAGGUUAAUACCCCGCUGUCCUGACGGUACCCAAAGAAUAAGCACCGGCUAACUUCGUG